RNAcentral lists this ribosomal RNA (253 nucleotides) under uncultured bacterium. RNAcentral's name for it is "partial 16S ribosomal RNA". It matches the Rfam family "Bacterial small subunit ribosomal RNA", at positions 524 to 776 of the family's 1533-position model. The record is from RNAcentral.
UACGGGGGGGGCAAGCGUUGUUCGGAAUUACUGGGCGUAAAGGGCUCGUAGGUGGCCAGGUAAGUUUGAUGUGAAAGCUCGGAGCUUAACUCCGAAAUGGCAUUGAAUACUAUCUGGCUUGAGGGUCGGAGGGGAGACUGGAAUUCUCGGUGUAGCAGUGAAAUGCGUAGAUAUCGAGAGGAACACCAGUGGCGAAGGCGAGUCUCUGGACGACACCUGACACUGAGGCACGAAAGCUAGGGGAGCAAACAGG